UCUCCGUUGGUGAACCAGCGGAGGGAUCAUUACCGAGUUUACAACUCCCAAACCCAAUGUGAACGUCACCAAACUGUUGCCUCGGCGGGGUCACGCCCCGGGUGCGUCGCAGCCCCGGAACCAGGCGCCCGCCGGAGGAACCAACCAAACUCUUUCUGUAGUCCCCUCGCGGACGUUAUUUCUUACAGCUCUGAGCAAAAAUUCAAAAUGAAUCAAAACUUUCAACAACGGAUCUCUUGGUUCUG
This 245-nucleotide unclassified non-coding RNA is filed under the name plant metagenome. Its description in RNAcentral is "partial contains small subunit ribosomal RNA, internal transcribed spacer 1, and 5.8S ribosomal RNA". The record is from RNAcentral.